AUGGAGUUCUUGCUGCAGCCGAUUAGGAGCACUGCGGUGAUGGAAGAAGUGAAUGACAGCCAGCUUCCGAUGGAGCCGCUUCACUACCCGGUGAUGGCCACUGAAGCUGAGCAGCUCCCGGCCAUGGCGGCUGGUAGUGUUGAGGGGCAGAUCUGUGCGGCCGAGGGGGGAGCCGUAGGUGACGUGGAAGCUGAGCCGCAGGCUUCUGAGCAAUCAAUAGGACAGAUUGAUCCUAAGACUCCAGGAUGGACUCGCAGGGUAAGAAUUGGAGCAGCUGCACCCGGAAGAGCAUCGUGCCCUGGGCGAAUAAGUGCCCUUGAGAAGGCGAUACGGGGGUUUGCUGAUCAGCCAGGGGACAUGGUAAUUGUCCCAGAACUUGGUACAAGCUUCGAUACGCUAGGAGGCGUAUGA
Molecule: ribosomal RNA, 411 nt
Filed under: Triticum aestivum (bread wheat)
Lineage: Eukaryota; Viridiplantae; Streptophyta; Magnoliopsida; Poales; Poaceae
Description: partial small subunit ribosomal RNA
Source: RNAcentral